AUAACAAUUUGAAUCGCAUGAUUCAAAUUUAAAAGAUGGCUUCGGCUAUCACUUUGGGAUGGACCUGCGGCGCAUUAGCUUGUUGGUAGGGUAACGGCCUACCAAGGCUGUGAUGCGUAGCCGAGUUGAGAGACUGAUCGGCCACAAUGGAACUGAGACACGGUCCAUACUCCUACGGGAGGCAGCAGUAGGGAAUCUUCCACAAUGGGCGCAAGCCUGAUGGAGCAACACCGCGUGAGUGAAGAAGGGUUUCGGCUCGUAAAGCUCUGUUGUUAGAGAAGAACGUGCGUGAGAGUAACUGUUCACGCAGUGACGGUAUCUAACCAGAAAGUCACGGCUAACUACGUGCCAGCAGCCGCGGUAAUACGUAGGUGGCAAGCGUUAUCCGGAUUUAUUGGGCGUAAAGCGAGCGCAGGCGGUUUGAUAAGUCUGAUGUGAAAGCCUUUGGCUUAACCAAAGAAGUGCAUCGGAAACUGUCAGACUUGAGUGCAGAAGAGGACAGUGGAACUCCAUGUGUAGCGGUGGAAUGCGUAGAUAUAUGGAAGAACACCAGUGGCGAAGGCGGCUGUCUGGUCUGCAACUGACGCUGGGGCUCGAAAGCAUGGGUAGCGAACAGGAUUAGAUACCCUGGUAGUCCAUGCCGUAAACGAUGAGUGCUAGGUGUUGGAGGGUUUCCGCCCUUCAGUGCCGCAGCUAACGCAUUAAGCACUCCGCCUGGGGAGUACGACCGCAAGGUUGAAACUCAAAGGAAUUGACGGGGGCCCGCACAAGCGGUGGAGCAUGUGGUUUAAUUCGAAGCUACGCGAAGAACCUUACCAGGUCUUGACAUCUUGCGCCAACCCUAGAGAUAGGGCGUUUCCUUCGGGAACGCAAUGACAGGUGGUGCAUGGUCGUCGUCAGCUCGUGUCGUGAGAUGUUGGGUUAAGUCCCGCAACGAGCGCAACCCUUGUUACUAGUUGCCAGCAUUCAGUUGGGCACUCUAGUGAGACUGCCGGUGACAAACCGGAGGAAGGUGGGGACGACGUCAGAUCAUCAUGCCCCUUAUGACCUGGGCUACACACGUGCUACAAUGGACGGUACAACGAGUCGCGAACUCGCGAGGGCAAGCUAAUCUCUUAAAACCGUUCUCAGUUCGGACUGCAGGCUGCAACUCGCCUGCACGAAGUCGGAAUCGCUAGUAAUCGC
RNAcentral lists this ribosomal RNA (1185 nucleotides) under uncultured bacterium. RNAcentral describes it as "bacterial SSU rRNA". It matches the Rfam family "Bacterial small subunit ribosomal RNA", at positions 173 to 1345 of the family's 1533-position model. The record is from RNAcentral.